UACGUAGGGUGCGAGCGUUGUCCGGAAUUAUUGUGCGCAAAGAGCUCGUAGGCGGUCUGUCGCGUCGGUCGUGAAAACCUGCAGCUUAACUGUGGGCUUGCGGUCGAUACGGGCAUGACUGGAGUUCGGCAGGGGAGACUGGAAUUCCUGGUGUAGCGGUGAAAUGCGCAGAUAUCAGGAGGAACACCGGUGGCGAAGGCGGGUCUCUGGGCCGAUACUGACGCUGAGGAGCGAAAGCGUGGGGAGCGAACAGG
RNAcentral lists this ribosomal RNA (254 nucleotides) under uncultured bacterium. RNAcentral's name for it is "partial 16S ribosomal RNA". It matches the Rfam family "Bacterial small subunit ribosomal RNA", at positions 524 to 776 of the family's 1533-position model. The record is from RNAcentral.